AUGUCGCCCUCGCGCCCCUCUUUCCUUCCUUCGUCCGUCCGUCCGUCGGCCCCCCUCCCCCCACUCUCCCUCGACGGUUCCUCCUCCACGCCUCCUCUCCGACGGUUCCUCCUCCGCGCCUCCUCUCUCGCCAGCUCGGCCCCUACUCCAAUCGCGCGGAACCGCUGGCCUCCAUUGGUGCAGAUCCACGGGCCGCCGCGCAUCUCCGGCCGGCCGCCUUCACGCCGACGACGGGCGGGGGGACACACGGCUCUCCCCCAGUUCGCGGGGGGCUCUGGGCUCCCCGGCGUUGGCGUCGCGGCGAGCCACCACCACUCCGCCGACGAAGGCCCACCGCGCCUCUCUCCCUCAACUCGCGGCCGGCCCUCGCUCUCAUGCCUCGCGGGGUGUCUCUCCCCCAAUCUGUGGCUGGCACUCGCUCCUCGCGACUCCCGUGGCCCCUCCGUGGUGCCGCCGUCCACCGUGCCUCCCCGCCCCCAAUCCUCCGUCCCCGAUCGCGCGCCGCAACUUCUCCCUCCUCGACGGUUCCAAGCUCCUCGGGUGCGCUGGCCCACCCCAUCCGCUCGCCUCCGUAAUUGUCGCCGGCCUACCCAUCCACGCGCCGCUUCCCCCGCCACUACUCCAGCGAACUCCCUGUCAAAUCACGCCGUUCGUCAUCUAAUCAUGCCGCUCUAGGACUCGGCCUCGACGGCCUCCGGGGCAGAGCGCGUGCUGCUUGUCCUCUUCGUCGGCGACGCUUGCGCCCGGUGGCGGGAGCAACGUCGGCAGAGAAGUUGAGGUUGGCCCUGGGCCCGCCGAUGUCGCGUGCGGCGACUUCGUAGGCGAGCGCGGCAUUCUCGGCGGAGGAUAAUGUGCCGAGCCAGAUGGAGUGAUGUACUGGUCCAAGUUCCAAUCUUUUGCGCUCUUCCUCAACGUACCAGGGACAACGAUGGUGCCGGCGGGGGGCUGGAUCGAACUCCAUCGAUGAAAUUGCCCCCAUCCACGAUGCAGAAUUGCAGUUUCACCUGAUGUCGUGGGAGCUGCAGGAGCAACAUCCGGACAGCAAUCAGUCGCCAAACUCAUUGCAGCAAGGCUUAUGGCAACUGUGAAGAAGGGAAACCCUGACCUCAGGAAGGUGAUGCCAGCUGUCAUUAUGAGGCAGCGCAAGCCAUGGCUCCGAAAGGAUGGUGUUUACAUGUACUUUGAAGUUGCCAGUAUGCAUUCCGUUGAGAAAGAGGUGUACCUCAGCCCAAUGACAUCCUUGAACGAGCCAACCAGGUUCAUGUAAGUUACAAAUAAUUUUAGAUUGACCGAAGUAAAUAUUUUGAUAAUAUUGACAUUGCAGGUGGGUAGGGUUCCUUGAUAUCAAAAUAGCCCACACCUUUAAUAAAUGGGAUGUCAGUGCAAGGGUGUUAUGAAAUGGUAAUUUACGAGAGAAUAAUGAAGACGUACUAAAAAAACUUGACAUGCGGGGGGUGAGACCGCCCCCACGGCAUUGUUUGAGAGGUAGAAUGACCUUCUCACAGCAGGCCAAGAAAACCCCCGGACCCCUGCCCCACCCGUACACGAGGGCAUGUCGCCUUGUGAGUUAGGCCGGGCUCCACAGUGCUUUGGACGUGGGACAAGCGAGGGAGUUUUUUUAACCCCAGAGCCCCCAAAACUGAAAUUCGCCCCCGAGGGGGGUCGAACCCAGGACCUCUGGGGAGUGCCUCCAGCGAUGCUACCACUACAAUAGCAGGCCUUUGGCUAAUGAAGACGUACUUGCACGUUGUCUUGGUGGAUGAGCAGGGUACCAAAAUUCCAAAAUGGAAGCAGUUGCAUGCGGUGACCACUCCAUUGCUCGUUGAAAGAGAAACAUAUGACUUCUUUAGAGUGGGCUUUUCGUCAACUUUUGGUGAUCCCUUGGCCCAUAUUUUAUGUAUAUUGUUUAGAUUACUUUGUCUUUCUCAGGCAGUGAGAGAAUACAUUGAUUGUUGACGUCAAAAGCGAAUAUAAAAUAUUAUCCUAGCCGCAUCAUUGACAAGAAUAUAAAAUAGAUAAGAGUAUUUACUUUGUGCAAACGUAAAUAUGAUGAUGUAUUUACGAGUUUGAUGGAUCUUAAUAUAUUUGGGACGGCAAUGUUUGCUCAAUGAUUA
Long non-coding RNA from Panicum virgatum (switchgrass), 2114 nucleotides. RefSeq lists it as uncharacterized. The record is from RefSeq and is a predicted model, not a curated record. Lineage: Eukaryota; Viridiplantae; Streptophyta; Magnoliopsida; Poales; Poaceae. The transcript is spliced from 6 exons.